GAUGAACGCUGGCGGCGUGCCUAAUACAUGCAAGUCGAGCGAACGGACGAGAAGCUUGCUUCUCUGAUGUUAGCGGCGGACGGGUGAGUAACACGUGGAUAACCUACCUAUAAGACUGGGAUAACUUCGGGAAACCGGAGCUAAUACCGGAUAAUAUUUUGAACCGCAUGGUUCAAAAGUGAAAGACGGUCUUGCUGUCACUUAUAGAUGGAUCCGCGCUGCAUUAGCUAGUUGGUAAGGUAACGGCUUACCAAGGCAACGAUGCAUAGCCGACCUGAGAGGGUGAUCGGCCACACUGGAACUGAGACACGGUCCAGACUCCUACGGGAGGCAGCAGUAGGGAAUCUUCCGCAAUGGGCGAAAGCCUGACGGAGCAACGCCGCGUGAGUGAUGAAGGUCUUCGGAUCGCAAAACUCUGUUAUUAGGGAAGAACAUAUGUGUAAGUAACUGUGCACAUCUUGACGGUACCUAAUCAGAAAGCCACGGCUAACUACGUGCCAGCAGCCGCGGUAAUACGUAGGUGGCAAGCGUUAUCCGGAAAUAUUGGGCGUAAAGCGCGCGUAGGCGGUUUUUUAGUCUGAUGUGAAAGCCCACGGCUCAACCGUGGAGGGUCAUUGGAAACUGGAAAACUUGAGUGCAGAAGAGGAAAGUGGAAUUCCAUGUGUAGCGGUGAAAUGCGCAGAGAUAUGGAGGAACACCAGUGGCGAAGGCGACUUUCUGGUCUGUAACUGACGCUGAUGUGCGAAAGCGUGGGGAUCAAACAGGAUUAGAUACCCUGGUAGUCCACGCCGUAAACGAUGAGUGCUAAGUGUUAGGGGGUUUCCGCCCCUUAGUGCUGCAGCUAACGCAUUAAGCACUCCGCCUGGGGAGUACGACCGCAAGGUUGAAACUCAAAGGAAUUGACGGGGACCCGCACAAGCGGUGGAGCAUGUGGUUUAAUUCGAAGCAACGCGAAGAACCUUACCAAAUCUUGACAUCCUUUGACAACUCUAGAGAUAGAGCCUUCCCCUUCGGGGGACAAAGUGACAGGUGGUGCAUGGUUGUCGUCAGCUCGUGUCGUGAGAUGUUGGGUUAAGUCCCGCAACGAGCGCAACCCUUAAGCUUAGUUGCCAUCAUUAAGUUGGGCACUCUAAGUUGACUGCCGGUGACAAACCGGAGGAAGGUGGGGAUGACGUCAAAUCAUCAUGCCCCUUAUGAUUUGGGCUACACACGUGCUACAAUGGACAAUACAAAGGGCAGCGAAACCGCGAGGUCAAGCAAAUCCCAUAAAGUUGUUCUCAGUUCGGAUUGUAGUCUGCAACUCGACUACAUGAAGCUGGAAUCGCUAGUAAUCGUAGAUCAGCAUGCUACGGUGAAUACGUUCCCGGGUCU
RNAcentral lists this ribosomal RNA (1371 nucleotides) under uncultured bacterium. Its description in RNAcentral is "bacterial SSU rRNA". It matches the Rfam family "Bacterial small subunit ribosomal RNA", at positions 28 to 1381 of the family's 1533-position model. The record is from RNAcentral.